Molecule: long non-coding RNA, 1371 nt
Filed under: Homo sapiens (human)
Lineage: Eukaryota; Metazoa; Chordata; Mammalia; Primates; Hominidae
Description: HSALNT0388731
Rfam family: Small nucleolar RNA SNORD49 (bases 999-1069)
Source: RNAcentral
UUUUCAUUCCCGUUGUUAUGGAGGUAGGCUCUCUAGGAAUCUGGGAGUAGUAGCUGGGGGGCAAGAGCAAAUAAAGAGCUCGAGCUUCUGUGGUCUCUGGGGAGAUGUUCCCGGGAAGCCUGUCUAGAGGGCGGAGGGCAGCUGUUGAGAUGGCGUGGCUCCCCGGCUCCUGCGCCCGCGUGGCUUUCGCGGCGGGCGCUGCGGCCCGGUAUUGGACAGCCUGGCAGGGCAGCGCGGGGCCGAAUCCGGCUGCCGUGGCUGAGGCUCAUGGAUCACUCUUUUGUGGUAGGGCCACAUCUGCCAGAGCCUGGAGUCUGCGAAGGCCGGGACCCGGUUCCCCGGCCCACAGUGGGGGUGUGCAAACCCGAGAGAACUGGGUAAGUUGGGGUCGGCUUGCAGUUUGGGGUACCCCGAGGGCGGUGUACGUCGGUAAGAUUGUAACAGUAUUACUGGAAGACUUAUUCGACUGUCCUGAUGAUACUUGUAAUAGGAAGUGCCGUCAGAAGCGAUAACUGACGACGUCUAAUGUCUAUCUGACCGCAGUCGCUGAAACCUCUACAACUUAGUUGACCGUAACUGCCAGAGCCCUGCCCUGAAUUCCUGUCCUUACUCCCUCUUUAAGAUUGCGUACCCACUGCAGAGUGCUGAAGACGGGGUAGCCACGAGGUGAGAGGCUCUCUGGUGUAGGGUUUAACAUGGAACGUAGUUUUGUCACUUGAAUGCACGGAAAUUGGCGUUUUGACAGUUUUCUACGUUUAGGUGUUUUAUACACUUUAGGGUAACGUUAUCAUGUCAUUGCAUAGGGUGGAACUUAAAUAGAAACUGGAGAUGGCUGCUUCAGCCACAGUCCUAACCUAGAACUGCAUUUAAAGCAAACUGAUAAUGCAGAAACAAACUCCUUCGUUAAGAAAUGUCUCCAGUAGCAGGGUUAGCUUAAGUUUCAGGUAGGGUCUAGAUCUGCGGUUGGAACAGUACUGGAGGGUUGUGAGGUGCUUGACUGCUCUGAUGAAAUCACUAAUAGGAAGUGCCGUCAGAAGCGAUAACUGACGAAGACUACUCCUGUCUGAUUGCAGUCAAGUCUUCACCACUUGCUGGUUCCCAGGAGUAAACUUGUUUGAACGGUGACCUAAUUGCUAUAUUCACCUAGGUUGCAAAUUCGUGAAGAAUCAGCAUCAUGUUUGGCAGCUGAGUAUUGGAGCCAGGAGCCUGCCAUGAGGUUUUGAGAACAGAGUGCUGUUUUAGAGCUGGCAGCAGCAUCUCAGCCCAAGAGAAGGUAAGCCUUGAGCUGGCCAAUGAUCCCUUCAACCCCAUAGUGGAAUGAAUAAACAGCUGAUCUUGUUAAAACUCGCUUCAAAAAAAAAAGAUAUCAAA